Molecule: transfer RNA, 86 nt
Filed under: Planctomycetaceae bacterium
Lineage: Bacteria; Pseudomonadati; Planctomycetota; Planctomycetia; Planctomycetales; Planctomycetaceae
Description: tRNA-Leu
Rfam family: tRNA
About the family: Transfer RNA (tRNA) molecules are approximately 80 nucleotides in length.
Source: RNAcentral
GGCCGAGUGGCGGAAUUGGCAGACGCACGGGACUUAAAAUCCCGGGUUCCGAUUGGAGCGUACGGGUUCGAGUCCCGUCUCGGCUA